GAUGAACGCUGGCGGCGUGCCUAAUACAUGCAAGUCGAGCGAACAGACGAGGAGCUUGCUCCUCUGACGUUAGCGGCGGACGGGUGAGUAACACGUGGAUAACCUACCUAUAAGACUGGGAUAACUUCGGGAAACCGGAGCUAAUACCGGAUAAUAUAUUGAACCGCAUGGUUCAAUAGUGAAAGACGGUUUUGCUGUCACUUAUAGAUGGAUCCGCGCCGCAUUAGCUAGUUGGUAAGGUAACGGCUUACCAAGGCGACGAUGCGUAGCCGACCUGAGAGGGUGAUCGGCCACACUGGAACUGAGACACGGUCCAGGCUCCUACGGGAGGCAGCAGUAGGGAAUCUUCCGCAAAGGGCGAAAGCCUGACGGAGCAACGCCGCGUGAGUGAUGAAGGUCUUCGGAUCGUAAAACUCUGUUAUUAGGGAAGAACAAAUGUGUAAGUAACUAUGCACGUCUUGACGGUACCUAAUCAGAAAGCCACGGCUAACUACGUG
RNAcentral lists this ribosomal RNA (497 nucleotides) under uncultured bacterium. RNAcentral describes it as "partial 16S ribosomal RNA". It matches the Rfam family "Bacterial small subunit ribosomal RNA", at positions 28 to 507 of the family's 1533-position model. The record is from RNAcentral.